CGUCAAACCUUACUCGGAGACAAAACGAACACUGCACUUGUAGAGAAGAUUUAUGAAUCCCUGUUUUGAUAGAAGAAUUUGGUUUAUAAGAAGUGCUAAAUUGGAAGUCAGAAUUCUAGAAAGUUGUAGCCAUGUUAAAAACAAAAAAAAAGAAGGUUUUUUUUCUACCAUCGUCCCUGUCGCAACCAUCGUUACAGCCACCACAAUCAUCACCAUAAGUCCAUCACCACCGUCGUUACAACGGUAUCCAUUGUUCUCACCAUCGUAGCCACCAUCAUCACGGCCGUUAUCACUAUCAU
Molecule: unclassified non-coding RNA, 299 nt
Filed under: Arabidopsis thaliana (thale cress)
Lineage: Eukaryota; Viridiplantae; Streptophyta; Magnoliopsida; Brassicales; Brassicaceae
Source: RNAcentral